RNAcentral lists this ribosomal RNA (254 nucleotides) under uncultured bacterium. RNAcentral describes it as "partial 16S ribosomal RNA". It matches the Rfam family "Bacterial small subunit ribosomal RNA", at positions 524 to 776 of the family's 1533-position model. The record is from RNAcentral.
UACGUAGGGUGCGAGCGUUGUCCGGAAUUAUUGGGCGUAAAGAGCUCGUAGGCGGUCUGUCGCGUCGGUCGUGAAAACCUGCAGCUUAACUGUGGGCUUGCGGUCGAUACGGGCAUGACUGGAGUUCGGCAGGGGAGACUGGAAUUCCUGGUGUAGCGGUGAAAUGCGCAGAUAUCAGGAGGAACACCGGUGGCGAAGGCGGGUCUCUGGACGGUGACUGACGCUGAGACGCGAAAGCGUGGGGAGCAAACAGG